CCUAGCAGCAGCAACUCCAGCUUCUCCCUCCAGCCAAGGGAAUUUUGCCAGGGUUCCUGUCUUUGUUUGCUCUCUGGACAUAAGCCCAAUGGGAGGCAGUGGCUACAGGGUUUCAAGAGGCAGACUGUGACACACUCAAGCUGGAGAACUUGCCCCUUCCUAGGUGUCUUCACCUGCAAGGUGAGUGUGGGACCCUGCUUGCUCUUCAGCUGUGGGAAGACCAGAAGCCCCUAGGGAAAAGCCCAGAGGGUUCCCUGGGGCACUGAAGAGUUUAGGCCUAAACUAAGGCCAGGAGCUCCACCCUCAUUUCCUCCCAAGUGACAAGCAGAACAGGGUCGGCUGUACCAGGUAAUUGACCAUGUAUGUCUACUUGGUUAAGAACUAGAGGCUCAUAAAUGGAGUCCAAGGGAACCUCCAGCUCAGGAAGCCCCAGCAAUCUCCCUCUGUCCCAGGACACAAGAGACUUCAAGCCUGUUCUGUAAGUUGGAAAAUAACUUUAUUUGUUCUAGGACACUGGCCAGAGUCCCCUUAGAACUUCUGAAACUGCUUCUUGGUGCCAGCAGCCUUGGUGACCUUGAGCACAUUGAAUCGAACAGUCUUGCUCAGGGGCCUGCACUCUCCAACAGUGACAAUGUCUCCAAUCUGUACAUCCCUGUGGAAUUAGACAAGGAAGAGUCUUAAGGAGGGGCCUUCCCAGCAAUCCUUUCAUCCAGACAGGCCGAGGGUGCCCACCUUUGCUCCACCAGUCACCAUCUAGGCGACUGCUAAGACUAAUAACAAACUAUAGCUUCUAGUUCCCUGGGAUUUACAGUAGACUACACACUCCUGGACCCCACAUUGCUCUGCCCACAAAUGCCCCACUUUGUCUUAAAAACACCUACACUUCCAUUACCUCUCCACAUCUGGGGCCCUUCCUGACACAGGCAUCCUCCAGCCAAGCCAGUGACUGUCUUGUCUAGAGUUAUCCCAAGCUAUCAGAGAACCAUGAUCACCUGAAACAGGGGGACAGGUGUACAGACAUGUUCUUGUGACGCUUCUCAAAUCGAUUGUAUUUCCGGAUGUAAUGGAGAUAGUCCCGGCGGAUGACAAUGGUCCUUUGCAUCUUCAUCUUUGUCACCACACCUGGGAGAGGGUGACAGGAAGGUGUUAGUUAGCAGGUAGGAGUCAGUUGAGUGUGGCUCCUAAGAAGCUCCAUUUAUGGCAUCAGCUUUGCCAACUGGCUGUCUCAGCAGUGUCCUGGAGGACAUCAGAAGACCAUCGUGAGAACAGACAUCAUUGCCAGCACCCCUAGACUCAGGAACCGAGAACCACCCUCUUAGCUUCUCACUCACCAGACAGGAUCCGACCUCGGAUGGAGACAUUUCCAGUGAAGGGGCAUUUCUUGUCUAUGUAGGUGCCCUCGAUGGCCUGUAAAGAUAACAAAGUGUAGUUUGGACUACCACUUCCUAAACAGAAGCAAUGAUGAAGCCUCAGGGACACAAACUACAAUUCCCAGGAGCCCCAUGGGUAGCCACUCUGAAACAGGUAGGUAGGGUGGCUGUGCUCCCACAUGUGCUGGGCUGCAUGAAUCUCAUCUGUUGGAGGGUGCUGUACCUCUUUGGGCGUCUUGAAGCCUAGACCGAUGUUUUUGUAGUACCGAGGGAGUUUUUCCUUGCCAGUUUCUCCCAGCAAAACACGCUUCUUGUUUUGAAAGAUUGUAGGCUGCUUUUGGUAAGCACGCUCUGUCUGUAAGAAUCGAUAAUUUGGUGAGGUUACAGGUAAAGAUCGAGACCAAGAAUAACAUUUCUUCCUUCCAACCUUGUACAGUAUUUGCCCCAAACGCCAGGGCUGCUCCACAGCCACCCCACACCUAGUUUAGCUUACACACUGCGUUCUAUCACCUCCACAACUCACAGAAUUCAUGGCUGAGAACAGAAUCAGCAUUUCAGCAAUAUUGGUUCUCCAAAACACACAAACUCACUCACUCAGGAUUCACAUCUUAUGAACACGUAGCUGAGCCCCGUGGGCCAGAUCUGUCAUCCAGGGACUCGAAAGGCAGAGGUAGAAUAGCAAGUUUAAGACAUGUCUAAGCUAACAGAGGCCAGAUGCAAGCCAACAUUUACAAUUACAGCAAGCGUCGGGACUGUAGCUCUGCGACAAGGGCGCUUGACUAGUGCGCACGAGGCCCGGAGUCUCAAUUCCCAUCAAGGAAAAGGAACAGCUUAAAUAAUCUGCCGGUUUUGCCGCCUCAGGACUCCGGCACCUCAGGAUGGUCUCUUCCCACCGCAAACCAUCAUGCAUUAAGGCCCAAAGCUCUUGAGACCCCAUUCCUGUGUAGAGCCCAGAUUUCCGAACCGCCUAUCCGAUAAAGGCACACGCAGGCCUCCUUGCUUCAGCUAACUCGCAAGAUAACGAGGACGCCAAGGAAUAAAGUUCACACUGAAGCGCCGAGGGAAAACGGCUAGACGCUCGAACCUGAAUGUCCGCCAUCUUCCCGGCAGCCUGAGAAAAGGAGAGGUUGGCCCACUCCCGGCUUCCUUAUUCACGCGACGUCCGGAGCGGAAGUGAUGUAGGAUCACGCUUGCGUAAGUAGGAGGUACUUCCGGCGAGGGCUCGCGCUUCUAGGACUUUCCGUAAGCCGUCAUGGUGGUUGAGGAUUAAGGGGCGGGAAGAGGACCUUGUCAUCUCGCGAGAUUUCAGGAUUCCGUUGUGGAGCGUACGACCUGGCUGGGAAAGUGCAUCUUGUGGUAUCGCGAGAGUCUUAGGGCGGAAUAAAGUUUUUCUUCUGCA
Long non-coding RNA from Mastomys coucha (southern multimammate mouse), 2769 nucleotides. RefSeq lists it as uncharacterized. The transcript is spliced from 2 exons. NCBI's taxonomy places the organism in Eukaryota, Metazoa, Chordata, Mammalia, Rodentia, Muridae. The record is from RefSeq and is a predicted model, not a curated record.